Molecule: long non-coding RNA, 341 nt
Organism: Aethina tumida (small hive beetle)
Lineage: Eukaryota; Metazoa; Arthropoda; Insecta; Coleoptera; Nitidulidae
Exons: 4
Source: RefSeq, a predicted model, not a curated record
CCGGAAAGUGACUUGACCGUCUUGAACCCACCGGUUCUCCUCCAUCCAUCUUCGUACAGUGACAAAAGGCAUUUAAUCGGAGAGAAUUAAAAUUAAUUAUACAUACUGUUGAUUUGGCACAGGAUUAAGUUUAAAGCUGAAUUUGUAUAUAAUUACAAGGCAAAAUCUAUAACAAUAAGCCUUUACAAUACGAUAUUUCAUUUUACAAAGCUGUGAUUGUUGUGCAAAUGACAACAUAUGCUUCAGAUUACUAUUAUUGGUAAUUGUACCCCAAUAUAAGAUUGUCCACCAAGAUGAUAUUACGUGAUCUUAGUCUAAUAGUUUUAUAUUUAUUUUCUUAU